This 202-nucleotide ribosomal RNA is filed under the name uncultured bacterium. Its description in RNAcentral is "partial 16S ribosomal RNA". It matches the Rfam family "Bacterial small subunit ribosomal RNA", at positions 1299 to 1500 of the family's 1533-position model. The record is from RNAcentral.
UGCAGGCUGCAACUCGCCUGCACGAAGUCGGAAUUGCUAGUAAUCGCGGAUCAGAAUGCCGCGGUGAAUACGUUCCCGGGCCUUGUACACACCGCCCGUCACACCAUGGGAGUCGGUAACACCCGAAGUCGGUGGUCUAACCGCAAGGAGGACGCCGCCGAAGGUGGGAUUGAUGACUGGGGUGAAGUCGUAACAAGGUAUC